CGCCAAAAUCAAACUCUUCGUAAAUUUUGCUGCAUUUUGGUGUAAAGUAUGGUGUACUUUUUGGCGAAAUAAGUCCGUCAAAAUGCGUGUGAAGCUAGGUUAUAUUUUGCGGUUAGUAUCCUCGAUAGCUACUACGCUAGAUGAAGCAGUAAGACCGAAUACUGGAGAAGUAUCUUCGACUGAAGCUCUCAGCUCUGCCUUCGUUCGUACAUCGUAUAAGCAAGUAAGAAUAUAUUCAUUAUUUUACAAUAAAAGUUGUAUUGCGGAAUUGCGGCAGAUUUUAGUAUUUUUU
Paramuricea clavata is the source of this 292-nucleotide non-coding RNA. The record is from the annotation of a GenBank genome assembly. NCBI's taxonomy places the organism in Eukaryota, Metazoa, Cnidaria, Anthozoa, Malacalcyonacea, Plexauridae.